This 82-nucleotide transfer RNA is filed under the name Anguilla anguilla (European eel). Its description in RNAcentral is "tRNA-OTHER". Lineage: Eukaryota; Metazoa; Chordata; Actinopteri; Anguilliformes; Anguillidae. The record is from RNAcentral.
ACUGUGAUGGCUGAGUGGUGAAGCCGUUGGACUUGAAAUCCACUGGGAUUUACCUGCGCAGGUUCGAGCGUGGCUCGUCUUC